RNAcentral lists this ribosomal RNA (253 nucleotides) under uncultured bacterium. RNAcentral describes it as "partial 16S ribosomal RNA". It matches the Rfam family "Bacterial small subunit ribosomal RNA", at positions 524 to 776 of the family's 1533-position model. The record is from RNAcentral.
UACGGGGGGAGCAAACGUUGUUCGGAAUUACUGGGCGUAAAGGGCUCGUAGGUGGCCAACUAAGUCGGACGUGAAAUCCCUCAGCUUAACUGGGGAACUGCGUCCGAUACUGGAUGGCUUGAGUUUGGGAGAGGGAUGCGGAAUUCCAGGUGUAGCGGUGAAAUGCGUAGAUAUCUGGAGGAACACCGGUGGCGAAGGCGGCAUCCUGGACCAACACUGACACUGAGGAGCGAAAGCCAGGGGAGCAAACGGG